Molecule: ribosomal RNA, 667 nt
Filed under: Inocybe tjallingiorum
Lineage: Eukaryota; Fungi; Basidiomycota; Agaricomycetes; Agaricales; Inocybaceae
Description: eukaryotic LSU rRNA
Rfam family: 5.8S ribosomal RNA (bases 239-392)
Source: RNAcentral
CACAGGCUGUUGCUGGCCCUCAAGGGUAUGUGCACGCUUGUCAUCUUUAUCUCUCCAACUGUGCACAUAUUGUAGACCUGGAGUCCCUGUUGAUUCAUUUCGAGUUGGGACUGCUGUGCUUUGUACUUCAGAGUCAGCUUUGCCUUUUUCAUACCCAGGUCUAUGUCAUUUUCACAACCUCUUGAAUGUGUUUAGAAUGUUGAAUCAGGUCUUUUUGUACCUAUAAAGUUAAAUAUACAACUUUCAGCAACGGAUCUCUUGGCUCUCGCAUCGAUGAAGAACGCAGCGAAAUGCGAUAAGUAAUGUGAAUUGCAGAAUUCAGUGAAUCAUCGAAUCUUUGAACGCAUCUUGCGCUCCUUGGUACUCCGAGGAGCAUGCCUGUUUGAGUGUCAUUUAAAUUCUCAACCACAUCAAUUUAUUUGGUGAGGCUUGGAUGUGGGGGUGUUUUUGCGGGCUUCUGUAAAUUUGAAGUCGGCUCCCCUAAAAUGCAUUAGUGGUAUCUGAGCAGAAGAAACUACUACAGGUGUGAUAAUUAUCUACGCCUCAGUAUYCUGCACAAUCAGAUUGUGCUGCUUCUAACGAGUGGAGAUUCCUUUUGGGGGACCACAUUUGUUGAAUUUGACCUCAAAUCAGGUAGGACUACCCGCUGAACUUAAGCAUAUCAAUA